GGUUCACCACCCCGCCGAAGAGCGUGUCCUUGUUGAUGGGGAUGGAGGAGACGGCGUUGUUGUUAGACUUGGAGAGGGACACGGGGCCUGCAGGGAGGGAGGAGCAGGGAGGGUUUGGGGACCAGUUUCCAAGCCAUUCCAUUCGAAGUGAAGCAAGCGCACAGUAGCCAACGAAAGCCAAACCACCCUGAUGGACAAGCCAUCAGCUGCCAGAAACUGGCUCCCUGUUCUCCAGCAGCCCACCUCGUCACCGCCGCGGUUUAAAUAAGAAAACCCGAAGGAGGGGGAAACAACGGGUUUUUUUCCCUCUUUCACAGCCUAGUUUACCAACAACGAACAAACCCCGCCGCUCAGCCAGAUGCAUGGGGCAAACCACGAGACCGAAUUGUUUGCUAAAGCACUAAAAUACCGGCUCGGAUUUUCUAGAUCAUCUGCUAACAUUUUUCCUCGUUAACGACAACAAUUAAAAUACCCGGCAAACGUAGCCGUUUAGGAGGACAGA
Molecule: long non-coding RNA, 502 nt
Organism: Apus apus (common swift)
Lineage: Eukaryota; Metazoa; Chordata; Aves; Apodiformes; Apodidae
Exons: 2
Source: RefSeq, a predicted model, not a curated record